UUCCUUUCCUCGCAUCAUCGUUGUUUUCUAAGACAGGGAUCAUUGUCUUCUGCCUGUUUUCACUGAUGGAAGGUAUAAGGUGCCCUUACACUAACCUAAGCGACCCUAUGGAGACCUUCCCACUGGAAUGGGGUGCAGUUAUUAAGUUCCCUCCAUGUCACCCUGUAUGAUAAAGUGUCUGAAUGAGGGCCCUUCUAGAGGAGAGAAUGUGAAGCAGUGCCCUAUAAGGUGCCCUUACACUGAUCUAAGCCACCCUAUGGGGACCUUCCCACUGGAAUGGGGUGCCGUUAUGAAGUUCCCUCCAUGUCACCCUGUAUGAUGAAGUGUCUGAAUGAGGGCCCUUCUAGAGCAGAGAAUGUGAAGCAGUGCGCUAUAAGGUGCCCUUACACUGAUCUAAGCCACCCUAUUACCCGAUUAAGAAAAUAGGUGCGCUUUUUAAUUUUUCAUGCCUGAAUCCACCCUUCAGACAGCCUUGACUGCCACUUUCCGUUUUUAUGAGUACUGCACAUCUAAUCCAGGGUGUACACAAUUGCAGUUGAAUUACAUGAAAAAAAAAACAUUGUAACACUGUAAUAUACUUAAACCAUAAACUUCAGACGGUACAGAAUGCUGCAGCCAGAGUUCUAACAAACACUAAAAAAUUUGAUCAUAUUACACCGGUCUUAUCCUCUCUUCGUUGGCUGCCAGUUAAGUCUCGAAUUGACUAUAAAAUACUGCUAUUAACUUAUAAAGCACUAAAUGGCCUUGCACCAGAAUACCUUAGUGAUCUGCUGACCACAUACAACCCUCCAUGCUUGCUUCGAUCUCAAGCCAUGGGAUAUCUGCUAGUGCCUUGGGUAGAAAGAGCUACGGCAGGCUGCAGAGCUUUCUCCUACAAAGCUCCUCAGCUGUGGAAUGGUCUUCCACCGGAUGUGCGGGUUUCAGGCUCACUCUCAAUAUUCAAGUCCAGACUAAAAACACACCUGUUUAGUUUAGCGUAUAGGGACACUAGUUCUAGCCCUAGCUAACUCUUCACUCCCAGUCAGACCUGUAGUGUGAGGUGUAGAGCUGGGUGGGGAUCGGUGCCAUUGGCUUUGGAUAAACUGGACUGUCAGUGCUGUCACUCUAGCUUCGCAAUCUCUUGUGGAACUGGAGUGCUGACAUUUCAGGGACUCCCCAUGCCUGCAUUCCCACUUGCCCCUCCCUCCUACUGAUGCUGCCAUAGCCAUAUCUGCCGGAGCUUGCAGAUUGCACUUCAUAUUGCACUCACCUAGCUUUUAGCACUGCCAAUAGCCUCCUCUACUUUGCCUAAUUGUACAUUUUAUUUCCCCUACUCCUCCUGGGGGGUGAUGCCUGGAGACCUCAAUCUAUCAAGAUAUCCAGCACACCCGGCCACAUGUGACGUCGCCACCACCAGUGACGUCCCUGCAUCCAGCUCGCCGUUCUGAUCUUCCAUGUAUGACCCGCUGCCUUACCUCUGGUUGCCUGGCGAUUGGAAGAAGACUCAGCAUCGGCAUUGGCUUGUCAUCUUCCUUGCUCUCCAGUUAUUUCCCAAAUCUUAUGAUUGGGACAAUGUGACUUGGCCCAUCUCUGGCACUUAACCAUCUCUCUAUUUGACUAUCCCUGCCGGCCCCUGGAGGAUGGGCUCCCCCUUUGAGUCUGGUCCCUCCCAAGGUUUCUUCCUUCUUGGGAGUUUUUCCUUGCCACUGUCGCCUAUGGCUUACUCACUGGGUACUUUGGGUGAGGAUGCUGUAAAGCGCUUUGAGACAAUGUAAUGUUGUGAUAAUGCGCUAUAUAAAAAUAAAUUUGAUUGUUUGUUU
This is a long non-coding RNA of Brienomyrus brachyistius, 1799 nucleotides long. RefSeq lists it as uncharacterized. The transcript is spliced from 2 exons. Lineage: Eukaryota; Metazoa; Chordata; Actinopteri; Osteoglossiformes; Mormyridae. The record is from RefSeq and is a predicted model, not a curated record.